CCUACGGGAGGCAGCAGUAGGGAAUCUUUCACAAUGGGCGAAAGCCUGAUGGAGCAACGCCGCGUGCAGGAUGAAGGCCUUCGGGUUGUAAACUGCUUUUAUAAGCGAGAAAUAUGAUGGUAACUUAUGAAUAAGGAUCGGCUAACUACGUUCCAGCAGCCGCGGUCAUACGUAGGAUCCGAGCAUUAUCCGGAGUGACUGGGUGUAAAGAGUUGCGUAGGUGGCAUAAUAAGUAGCUAGUGAAAUCUGGUGGCUCAACCAUUCAGACUAUUAGCUAAACUGUUAAGCUCGAGACCGUUAGGGGUAACUGGAAUUUCUAGUGUAGGAGUGAAAUCCGUAGAUAUUAGAAGGAACACCAAUAGCGUAGGCAGGUUGCUGGGACGGUUCUGACACUAAGGCACGAAAGCGUAGGGAGCAAACGGGAUUAGAUACCCCAGUAGUC
This 442-nucleotide ribosomal RNA is filed under the name uncultured bacterium. RNAcentral's name for it is "partial 16S ribosomal RNA". It matches the Rfam family "Bacterial small subunit ribosomal RNA", at positions 338 to 795 of the family's 1533-position model. The record is from RNAcentral.